GAUGAAGAACGUAGCGAAAUGCGAUAAGUAAUGCGAAUUGCAGAAUUCAGUGAAUCAUCGAAUCUUUGAACGCACAUUGCGCCCGCCAGUAUUCUGGCGGGCAUGCCUGUCUGAGCGUCGUUUCGACCCUCGCGCCCGGCUUCUGUCGGGGGCGGUGUUGGGGAUCGGCCACACCCUUCAGUGGGAGGCCGGCCCCUAAAUUCAGUGGCGACCACGCUGUAGCCUCCCCUGCGUAGUACUAAAACCGCCUCGCAGGCGGAGAGCGGUGCGGCCCGCCGUAAAACCCCCCAACUUUUACAAGGUCGACCUCAGAUCAGGUAGGAAUACCCGCUGAACUUAAGCAUAUCAAUAAGCGGAGGA
Molecule: unclassified non-coding RNA, 360 nt
Filed under: soil metagenome
Description: partial contains 5.8S ribosomal RNA, internal transcribed spacer 2, and large subunit ribosomal RNA
Rfam family: 5.8S ribosomal RNA (bases 1-120)
Source: RNAcentral